GUCUCCAUGGUUCAAAGAGCCUGCUGCACAAGCCAGCAGCAUCCCUCUCUCCUGGGAACCAGGCCUCCUGGAGUUCCACGCUGACGCUGCUGAAUCAGAAACCACGUAGGCGGCUGGAAAUUCUCCGCAGGUGACACUGCAUGGCCAAAGUCUGAGGGCCCCUGACUUGUUCGGAUAGGUUCCCGGUGCCCUUCACCUUUGCGGGCCUGUUUCCUCCUCUGUGGAAUGCAGUCAGGAACAGCUCCCUUUGCGGCACUCAUGGGAGCAUGGCGUGGGUGACAGACUGGAGAAUAUAGCAGGGGAGCUGACACUGCUGGUGCACCGUAAAUGUUAGUUUUUUAAUUUGUUUUUAGUUGUCGAAGGACAUAUUCAUUUAUGAAUGUGUGGUGCUGAGAAUCGAACCCAGUGUCUCACCUGCGAGGCAAGCACUCUGCCCCUGGGCUAGAGCCCCAGCUCAAGGACAUUUGCCAUUGGAUUUAAGGACACCUAGGGAAUCCAGAGUGAUCUCAUCUCAAGAUCCUUCACCCAAUUACGUUGGCAAAAAUCCUUUGUCCAGAGCAGCCCGAAGCCACGUGGCAUCUUCCUGAGACACCAGGUUCUGAGAGCUGACUGCUUCCCAGGAUGGUCUGGUAUGCGCGAGGCAGAGGGAGCGCCUGUGAACCAGAGUAACCCAGGCCAGGCGCCGGCCCGGGCCACGCACCUCCAGGCUGCAGGGAGCUCGGAUGGAAGGGAGCUCCCUGGGAUUUUCUGUGUGCUCCUGCUUUGGGCCACACUCAGGUAGGCCUGGGUGUCCCCUCUGCUACUUGGUAGCCGUGCCACUUUAAUGAUCUUCACUGAAUCUCUCUGUGCUUCAGUUUGAGACUCUGUAAAAUAAAGUGGGUGAUAAUAACACUUACUUUAUAGGGUUCCUGGUAGACCAAAGUGGGUAAUGCAGGCGGAAGCUGGAAGAAAAUGUGCACAGCAUAUAUGUGUAACCCAGGACUUGCAUCUAGAAUAUGGCGAGGGAGGGGGAGGCACUUACAACUCAGUAAAUAAAAGACAAACAACCCUCCUUCCAAAUGCAGAAAGACGUAGACACUUCUUAAGAGCAGAUAGAUCCAAUAAACACAUGGAAAAAGCACAGGGCCUGGGAAGGAACUUGUACCCACAAUGGGAUCCCCUUUGGCACCCACUAGCAUGGCCAGAGACAGCAAUGAGGUCGAUACCCAAUACCACGUGCCGAUGAGGGUGUGGGGCCCCAGAGCUCCCACGGCCUCCUAGUGGAAGUGAAAAAUCAACACAGACAUCUGGAAAAUCAGCUUGGCAGUUGCUUAUAAGGCUAAAAAUACACGAAAUACGCUUCCUAUAUGACCCAAAGAUUCCACUCCUAGGUAUUUCCCCCACGACAUACGUCUGUACAAGACUCGUAUAUGAAAGCUCACAGCAGCCUGCUCGUCACCCCCCAGAGUGACAAGAGCCACAAUGCCCAGCAGCACUGAAAGGACAGACUGCGCAAGGCAUCCUGGGGACAGGACGCUUUGUAGCCACAGGCUGCUGGCAUACAUGAGCCCUGCAGGGACCUCAGAAGCGCUACUCUGAAGAAAAGAAGCCAGACGUGGAAAAUACACACGAUUCGGGUUCUAAAACAAGAUGGCGGUGCAGCCAUCGAGUCCCGGGACCUCUGUGUGAAGGCGGGGAGUCAAAGGGGCACAGGGAGACCGUCUUGGCCUGAUGGAAAUGUCUGGCACUCCUGCUUGCGGGUGAGGAGACACGGGUGUAAAACUGCGUUCGUUGUGAACUUCAGAUCUUCCUUGUACGGAAGUUGUAUCUGAGUGAAAGAUUAACCAGGGGUGUUGUAUGUGGAACGCUCAGCAAGGGGACCAAAGCUCCUGGGGGGACGCAGGCAGCAUUCACUAUUAGUGGUUUGCACAGGUGAAACAUUGACGGAUUGUGCUGUGAGUUCAGUGUGCAAACUCACUCCUCACUAGACAGGGAGCCCCGCAGAGUGGAGAAACCCAACCAAAAGAUCCCAGGUGAAGGCCGCUGUGCCCGACCCCUUCUUUCUCCUGUAAGCCAGAGCCAGAAGAGGGUGCUCAGCUUGCAAAGAUGCAGAUCCAGGACAGGAGGAUGGAGAGGGAGUCUUUGGGGAGGGGUAAGAACAGGUGCAGCAAAGACGUGCGGGUGCCUCAGGGGUCCACAGCCCAGGACACUGCAUGGGCGAGUUCCAAGGUGCCCGACACAGCCGUGGGCACGAGGCUGGGCCUAGCCCUUAGGCUGUAGGCUUGGAAGGCAGGACAGUCUCCCCCGGCCUCCCAUCUAGGACUCUUCCUGAACUCCCCUAGUGGAUGCCUCCUGUAGCCUCCACUCUUUCUGGAGUCCCAUCCUCACCCUGUGCUGGGCUGAAGCAGGGGAAGCUGCUCCCAGCGAGGGCGUCAUCUCCUGCCCUAGACAAGGCCUCCCACGAGGCACUGCAGUGGCCCAGGGUUGGCCUUGAGCUGGGCUCUCUGCCCUGGAGGAGCCUCAUCUAUUACUGGUGAGAUGGGCCAGAUGAGCUCUCCCACUCCACGGGUCUCAGCGUCCACCCUGCAUGGCUAGGACUUGCCCAUUUCUUACCAUGAGGAGUCCCGAGGGCAGAGUGGUGAGCUGCUGAGGCCAACAUGCAGGAUCUUGCUCCUGGCCCCCUGCCCAGCCCAUGGGGUCCACCUUUCAGACCUCCAGGGCCUAGCUUUGGCCUAGCCAGGCAUCCAGAGAUGCUCACAUUUGCAUAAAGUAAUCGCUCACAGCAUCUUUUAAAGAGAAGACCACAUCUGAGGUUUACAGCAACAGAAGAAGGAAAAACUAAGAUCUCCCUGUCCUCCACUAGCAAUCAGACCACUGGUGGCGGAGGGCCCACAUUUUGGAUGCAAAUCCUACAAAGGCCCCGGGUAGCUUUGGAGAAAACACCUUUGUAGGCGGUGGCAGGAGUGCCAACUUUCUGGUCCUCAUCAAAAGGCUUUGUCUGUACCUAUGAAUCAAAAGUCGGAAUAGGGGCUGGGGACAUGCAGCUCAGUGGUAAGAGAACUGGCCCAGCAAGCACAAGGCCCUGGGUUCCAACCCUAGCACCCCUACCCACCACCCACCAAAAAAGGUCAGAACAGGCUGCACUGAAUUACUAAACUUGAAACAAGUACUUUUGUUUGUUUGACGGGGGGAAGAAAUUGUCAUUUCGGUCUCAUGCUGGCUAUGUAAUUAGCAAAACGCAAUGCAAAAAAAUAAAACGCUUAUUGAAGGAAAA
Molecule: non-coding RNA, 3253 nt
Organism: Ictidomys tridecemlineatus (thirteen-lined ground squirrel)
Lineage: Eukaryota; Metazoa; Chordata; Mammalia; Rodentia; Sciuridae
Source: RefSeq, a predicted model, not a curated record